This 229-nucleotide ribosomal RNA is filed under the name uncultured bacterium. Its description in RNAcentral is "partial 16S ribosomal RNA". It matches the Rfam family "Bacterial small subunit ribosomal RNA", at positions 568 to 796 of the family's 1533-position model. The record is from RNAcentral.
UCCGCAGGGGGCCGGCUAAGUUUGAUGUGAAAUCCCGGGGCUCAACCCCGGAACUGCAUUGAAAACUGAUUGGCUAGAGUACCGGAGAGGAAAGUGGAAUUCCAGGUGUAGCGGUGGAAUGCGUAGAUAUCUGGAAGAACACCAAAAGCGAAGGCAGCUUUCUGGACGGUUACUGACCCUCAGGGACGAAAGCGUGGGGAGCAAACAGGAUUAGAUACCCUGGUAGUCC